This 482-nucleotide ribosomal RNA is filed under the name uncultured Saprospiraceae bacterium. RNAcentral describes it as "bacterial SSU rRNA". It matches the Rfam family "Bacterial small subunit ribosomal RNA", at positions 28 to 505 of the family's 1533-position model. The record is from RNAcentral. Lineage: Bacteria; Pseudomonadati; Bacteroidota; Saprospiria; Saprospirales; Saprospiraceae.
GAUGAACGCUAGCGGGAGGCUUAAUACAUGCAAGUCGAACGGUAACGAUGGAGCUUGCUCCAGGCGACGAGUGGCGCACGGGUGAGUAACGCGUACACAAUCUACCCAUUACAGGAGGAUAGCCUUGGGAAACUGAGAAUAAUACUCCAUAGUAUUUUCGAACCGCAUGGUUUGAUUAUUAAAGUUCCGGCGGUAAUGGAUGAGUGUGCGUACUAUUAGAUAGUUGGUGAGGUAACGGCUCACCAAGUCAGCGAUAGUUAGGGGGCGUGAGAGCGUGAUCCCCCACACGGGUACUGAGACACGGACCCGACUCCUACGGGAGGCAGCAGUAAGGAAUAUUGGACAAUGGGCGCAAGCCUGAUCCAGCCAUCCCGCGUGAAGGACGACGGCCCUAUGGGUUGUAAACUUCUUUUAUAGAGGACGAACCGUACCAUUUUAAUGGUGCCUGACGGUACUCUACGAAUAAGCACCGGCUAAUUCCG